RNAcentral lists this long non-coding RNA (276 nucleotides) under Sorghum bicolor (sorghum). Its description in RNAcentral is "long non-coding RNA (SBIC_LNC010056)". The record is from RNAcentral. Lineage: Eukaryota; Viridiplantae; Streptophyta; Magnoliopsida; Poales; Poaceae.
UGUAGCCUAAAGAGUAGUAGCAAUAGAUUUGGUUAGUCAUAUGCAUGCUUUCUCCCAGUGGUAAAAAUAUAAAAACGAUACUCUGGAUAGCCUCCCAGGUGAAAUGCUCACCGAUAUCCGUGCGCUUGCAGAUCAUUUCCUGAUGGCGUUACCAAAUAUCAACAAUACCAAUGUGGUGAAGCCAAGGGAAACAAUAACCAGUGGGCUUGAAUGGUGAAGAAUAGCUCAGCGGCAUGGGUGCCAGCUCUCUUUAUUACUCAAUUGUAUAAGCAAUGG